CAGAGUUCAUGCCCUUACGGGUAGAUCUCCCACCCUUGUGUAUCAUAUCAUAUGUUGCUUUGGCGGGUGCAAACCCGUCAGAGGACCCAAACUCUGAGUUUAGUGUCGUCUGAGUACUAUAAAAUAGUUA
This 130-nucleotide unclassified non-coding RNA is filed under the name uncultured Helotiales. Its description in RNAcentral is "sequence contains ITS1". Lineage: Eukaryota; Fungi; Ascomycota; Leotiomycetes; Helotiales. The record is from RNAcentral.